This 290-nucleotide unclassified non-coding RNA is filed under the name Hevea brasiliensis (rubber tree). Lineage: Eukaryota; Viridiplantae; Streptophyta; Magnoliopsida; Malpighiales; Euphorbiaceae. The record is from RNAcentral.
AUCACCAUCAUUAUCAUAUAUUUGUUAGAAGUGUCAAAGCAAUAUAUAUAUAUUCAAAGGAAGAAAAAAGGAAAAUAUCUUUGCUACAGAAUACAGAUAUCAAUGAUUGAAAGGGAAUUUUUUUUUUUUAACUUCAAUACAGAGCCAUGUGCAGGUAUUUGUCAGGUGUCCCUACCAUUGAUGGGGUAAACUGCAUUUGCUUCAGUGUCAAAUUUAUCCUAUAAUCAUCAAAUUUGUGUGUUUAUUAUGUUUGAUUAAUCAGAUUAUUCAAUGUCAAAAAAAAAAAAAAA